GAUGAACGCUGGCGGCGUGCCUAAUACAUGCAAGUCGAGCGAACAGACGAGGAGCUUGCUCCUCUGACGUUAGCGGCGGACGGGUGAGUAACACGUGGAUAACCUACCUAUAAGACUGGGAUAACUUCGGGAAACCGGAGCUAAUACCGGAUAAUAUAUUGAACCGCAUGGUUCAAUAGUGAAAGACGGUUUUGCUGUCACUUAUAGAUGGAUCCGCGCCGCAUUAGCUAGUUGGUAAGGUAACGGCUUACCAAGGCAACGAUGCGUAGCCGACCUGAGAGGGGGUCCGGCCCACAUGGACCUGAAACACGGUCCAGACCCCUACGGGGGGCAGAAGUAGGGAAUCUGCCGAAAGGGGGGAAAGCUUGCCGGAGAAACGCCGGGGGAGUGAAGAAGGUUUUCGGAUCGUAAAACCCUUUUAUUAGGGAAAAAAAAAUGGGUAAGUAACUAUGCCCGUCUGGACGGUACCUAACCAAAAAGCCCCGGCUAACUACGU
RNAcentral lists this ribosomal RNA (496 nucleotides) under uncultured bacterium. Its description in RNAcentral is "partial 16S ribosomal RNA". It matches the Rfam family "Bacterial small subunit ribosomal RNA", at positions 28 to 506 of the family's 1533-position model. The record is from RNAcentral.